Molecule: ribosomal RNA, 253 nt
Filed under: uncultured bacterium
Lineage: Bacteria
Description: partial 16S ribosomal RNA
Rfam family: Bacterial small subunit ribosomal RNA
Source: RNAcentral
UACGAAGGGUGCAAGCGUUAAUCGGAAUUACUGGGCGUAAAGCGUGCGUAGGCGGUUGGCUAAGUCAGAUGUGAAAGCCCUGGGCUCAACCUGGGAAUGGCAUUUGAAACUGGCUGGCUAGAGUGUGAUAGAGGAUGGCGGAAUUCCCGGUGUAGCGGUGAAAUGUGUAGAGAUCGGGAGGAACAUCCGUGGCGAAGGCGGCCAUCUGGAUCAACACUGACGCUGAGGCACGAAAGCGUGGGGAGCAAACAGG